Molecule: ribosomal RNA, 531 nt
Filed under: uncultured bacterium
Lineage: Bacteria
Description: partial 16S ribosomal RNA
Rfam family: Bacterial small subunit ribosomal RNA
Source: RNAcentral
UGGGGAAUAUUGCACAAUGGGCGAAAGCCUGAUGCAGCAACGCCGCGUGAGUGAUGAAGGCCUUCGGGUUGUAAAGCUCUGUCUUUUGGGACGAUAAUGACGGUACCAAAGGAGGAAGCCACGGCUAACUACGCGCCAGCAGCCGCGGUAAUACGUAGGUGGCAAGCGUUGUCCGGAUUUACUGGGCGUAAAGGAUGCGUAGGCGGAUUUUUAAGUGAGAUGUGAAAUACCCGGGCUUAACUUGGGUGCUGCAUUUCAAACUGGGAAUCUAGAGUGCGGGAGAGGAGAAUGGAAUUCCUAGUGUAGCGGUGAAAUGCGUAGAGAUUAGGAAGAACACCAGUGGCGAAGGCGAUUCUCUGGACCGUAACUGACGCUGAGGCAUGAAAGCGUGGGUAGCAAACAGGAUUAGAUACCCUGGUAGUCCACGCCGUAAACGAUGAGUACUAGGUGUAGGAGGUAUCGACCCCUUCUGUGCCGCAGUUAACACAAUCAAGUACUCCGCCUGGGAAGUACGAUCGCAAGAUUAAAACU